ACUACGGGUGGCAGCAGUGGGGAAUAUUGCACAAUGGGCGCAAGCCUGAUGCAGCCAUGCCGCGUGUGUGAAGAAGGCCUUCGGGUUGUAAGGCACUUUCAGCGGGGAGGAAGGCGGUGAGGUUAAUAACCUCAUCGAUUGACGUUACCCGCAGAAGAAGCACCGGCUAACUCCGUGCCAGCAGCCGCGGUAAUACGGAGGGUGCAAGCGUUAAUCGGAAUUACUGGGCGUAAAGCGCACGCAGGCGGUCUGUCAAGUCGGAUGUGAAAUCCCCGGGCUCAACCUGGGAACUGCAUUCGAAACUGGCAGGCUAGAGUCUUGUAGAGGGGGGUAGAAUUCCAGGUGUAGCGGUGAAAUGCGUAGAGAUCUGGAGGAAUACCGGUGGCGAAGGCGGCCCCCUGGACAAAGACUGACGCUCAGGUGCGAAAGCGUGGGGAGCAAACAGGAUUAGAUACCCUUGUAGUC
Molecule: ribosomal RNA, 465 nt
Filed under: uncultured Klebsiella sp.
Lineage: Bacteria; Pseudomonadati; Pseudomonadota; Gammaproteobacteria; Enterobacterales; Enterobacteriaceae
Description: bacterial SSU rRNA
Rfam family: Bacterial small subunit ribosomal RNA
Source: RNAcentral